CACGUAGGGGGCGAGCGUUGUCCGGAUUUAUUGGGCGUAAAGAGCUCGUAGGCGGUUCAGUAAGUCGGGUGUGAAACCCCCGGGCUCAACCCGGGGACGCCACCUGAUACUGCUGUGACUUGAGUCCGGUAGGGGAGCGUGGAAUUCCUGGUGUAGCGGUGAAAUGCGCAGAUAUCGGGAAGAACACCCAUGGCGAAGGCAGCUCUCUGGGACGGUACUGACGCUGAGACGCGAAAGCGUGGGGAGCGAACAGG
Molecule: ribosomal RNA, 254 nt
Filed under: uncultured bacterium
Lineage: Bacteria
Description: partial 16S ribosomal RNA
Rfam family: Bacterial small subunit ribosomal RNA
Source: RNAcentral